Molecule: ribosomal RNA, 1175 nt
Filed under: uncultured Sebacina
Lineage: Eukaryota; Fungi; Basidiomycota; Agaricomycetes; Sebacinales; Sebacinaceae
Description: eukaryotic LSU rRNA
Rfam family: Eukaryotic large subunit ribosomal RNA (bases 573-1175)
Source: RNAcentral
GUAGGUGAACCUGCGGAAGGAUCAUUAAUGAAACUUCAAAGUCGGCCAAAGGUUGUUGCUGGUGAUUAUUCACAUGUGCACGCCUUUGGUCGCAAAUCCACACACACCUGUGCAUCUAUGACUCGAGGUUGUAAUGACUGAGAGUAACUUUUAUACACUCUUGUAUGUAAUGGAAUGUCUUUUUGUGCUAUAAUGUACAAUAUAAACAACUUUCAACAACGGAUCUCUUGGCUCUCGCAUCGAUGAAGAACGCAGCGAAAUGCGAUAAGUAAUGUGAAUUGCAGAAUUCAGUGAAUCAUCGAAUCUUUGAACGCACCUUGCACCCUUUGGUAUUCCGAAGGGUACGCCCGUUUGAGUGUCAUUGUAAUCUCACUUCUACAACUUUAUUGUUGUUUGAAUGUGGACUUGGAUGUUGCCGUUUUAUCACGGCUCGUCUUAAAUGCCUGAGUGUACCCUGUUUUGCAGCGUAUCCAGUGUAAUAAACAUUUCACUAGAGUUGGUCGAAAGACCGCAUUGACUAUAUGGGCUCUAUGCUUCAAACCGUCUGCCAUGUGGACAAUUUCUUGACAAUUUGACCUCAAAUCGGGUGGGACUACCCGCUGAACUUAAGCAUAUCAAUAAGCGGAGGAAAAGAAACUAACAAGGAUUCCCCUAGUAACGGCGAGUGAAGAGGGAAAAGCUCAAAUUUUAAAUCUGGUGUCUUUGACUCCCGAGUUGUAAUCUAGAGAAGUGUUUUCCGUGUCGGACCGUGUACAAGUUCCCUGGAACGGGGCGUCAUAGAGGGUGAGAAUCCCGUAUAUGCCACGGACUACCGAUGCUCUGUGAUACACUCUCAACGAGUCGAGUUGUUUGGGAAUGCAGCUCAAAAUGGGUGGUAAAUUCCAUCUAAAGCUAAAUAUUGGCGAGAGACCGAUAGCGAACAAGUACCGUGAGGGAAAGAUGAAAAGCACUUUGGAAAGAGAGUGAAACAGUACGUGAAAUUGUUGAAAGGGAAGCGUUUGAAGUCAGUCGCAUCUGUUGGGGUUCAGCCUGGCUUUUGCCUGGUGUAUUUCCUUUCCGAUGGGUCAGCAUCAGUUUCGACCGAGGGAAAAAGACAUUUGGAAUGUGGCUGUCUUCGGGCAGUGUUAUAGCCUUGUGUUGUAUGUCUCGGUUGGGACUGAGGAUUGCAGCGCGCC